Molecule: non-coding RNA, 703 nt
Organism: Camellia sinensis
Lineage: Eukaryota; Viridiplantae; Streptophyta; Magnoliopsida; Ericales; Theaceae
Source: RefSeq, a predicted model, not a curated record
UUGUGUGGUGUCAAGAAGUGAGGCUUAUGUAUUGUGCUAUGUGUGUGUGUGUGUGUGUGUGUGUGUGACUUAGUUGAAGACUUUUUCAAAGUCAAGAAGAAGGGGCUCACUUACUAGAUGUGCUGGAGAGUCCAAGUUAGAGAGAAAGAGAGUGAGUUGAAGAGCUCAUCUUAGAGAGAGAAACCCACACUUACGCUGAAAAUUGAAAGAAGAAUAAUAACACUAAAGAGGAAAUCAAUUCUAAUUGCUGAAAUUAAAGUUUGAGAUGUAGGUGAACAACUAGACGAUCGAUAUUAGAGUUUGCCUCUGAGUCCGCCCCUUUGUCAAGCCACCCAAGCAGUGCCUCUGUGUUGAGGCUUUAGUUUUAUUUUGCCAAGCUUGCUAAGCUUUGUAUUUUGUUAAAAGUCUUAUGUAUAUAUGUGUGCGAGGUAUAUAAGAUAUGUCUUGAGCAUGUGAAGGUGUAUUAUAAAUGUUUUAGAUAUUUCAGUUUAUCAUUUAUGCACAGCUCAAUGGACAAUAUUAUUUUGUUUUGUUUUCUCUUUAAGCCCCGAUAUUAUUUAAAUAUUUUGAAAUUUUGUCUUUGAGGCCAUAGGUAAUCUAUGAUUACUGGUCGGUCACCACUCUAACCUCUAGGGUCAAGUUAGGGUCGUGACAUAGGAUGUAUGAAAUUGGAUGAACACAUGUCUUGUGUGACCUUAUUGUA